RNAcentral lists this ribosomal RNA (222 nucleotides) under uncultured bacterium. RNAcentral describes it as "partial 16S ribosomal RNA". It matches the Rfam family "Bacterial small subunit ribosomal RNA", at positions 111 to 334 of the family's 1533-position model. The record is from RNAcentral.
UAACGCGUAGGAACCUGUCGUUUGGUGGGGGAUAACGCUGGGAAACUGGCGCUAAGACCGCAUAAGCGUGCUCCUGUGAAAGGGAGGACGGAAAGCAGAGAUGUGCCGAAUGAGGGGCCUGCGUCCGAUUAGCUAGUUGGUGGGGUAAAGGCCUACCAAGGCGGCGAUCGGUAGCUGGUCUGAGAGGAUGGUCAGCCACACUGGGACUGAGACACGGCCCAG